GCCUACGGCCAUACCACCUUGAACACACCCAAUCUCGUCUGAUCUCGGAAGCUAAGCAGGGUCGGGCCUGGUUAGUACUUGGAUGGGAGACCGCCUGGGAAUACUGGGUGCUGUAGGCC
This 119-nucleotide ribosomal RNA is filed under the name Pogona vitticeps (central bearded dragon). The record is from RNAcentral. Lineage: Eukaryota; Metazoa; Chordata; Lepidosauria; Squamata; Agamidae.